This 2638-nucleotide ribosomal RNA is filed under the name Salmonella enterica subsp. enterica serovar Enteritidis. Its description in RNAcentral is "partial 23S ribosomal RNA". It matches the Rfam family "Bacterial large subunit ribosomal RNA". The record is from RNAcentral. Lineage: Bacteria; Pseudomonadati; Pseudomonadota; Gammaproteobacteria; Enterobacterales; Enterobacteriaceae.
UCGUCACACUAUCAUUAACUGAAUCCAUAGGUUAAUGAGGCGAACCGGGGGAACUGAAACAUCUAAGUACCCCGAGGAAAAGAAAUCAACCGAGAUUCCCCCAGUAGCGGCGAGCGAACGGGGAGGAGCCCAGAGCCUGAAUCAGCAUGUGUGUUAGUGGAAGCGUCUGGAAAGGCGCGCGAUACAGGGUGACAGCCCCGUACACAAAAGCGCAUGUGCUGUGAGCUCGAUGAGUAGGGCGGGACACGUGGUAUCCUGUCUGAAUAUGGGGGGACCAUCCUCCAAGGCUAAAUACUCCUGACUGACCGAUAGUGAACCAGUACCGUGAGGGAAAGGCGAAAAGAACCCCGGCGAGGGGAGUGAAAAAGAACCUGAAACCGUGUACGUACAAGCAGUGGGAGCACCCUUUGGGUGUGACUGCGUACCUUUUGUAUAAUGGGUCAGCGACUUAUAUUCUGUAGCAAGGUUAACCGAAUAGGGGAGCCGGAGGGAAACCGAGUCUUAACCGGGCGUUAAGUUGCAGGGUAUAGACCCGAAACCCGGUGAUCUAGCCAUGGGCAGGUUGAAGGUUGGGUAACACUAACUGGAGGACCGAACCGACUAAUGUUGAAAAAUUAGCGGAUGACCUGUGGCUGGGGGUGAAAGGCCAAUCAAACCGGGAGAUAGCUGGUUCUCCCCGAAAGCUAUUUAGGUAGCGCCUCGUGAAUUCAUCUCCGGGGGUAGAGCACUGUUUCGGCUAGGGGGCCAUCCCGGCUUACCAACCCGAUGCAAACUGCGAAUACCGGAGAAUGUUAUCACGGGAGACACACGGCGGGUGCUAACGUCCGUCGUGAAGAGGGAAACAACCCAGACCGCCAGCUAAGGUCCCAAAGUCAUGGUUAAGUGGGAAACGAUGUGGGAAGGCCCAGACAGCCAGGAUGUUGGCUUAGAAGCAGCCAUCAUUUAAAGAAAGCGUAAUAGCUCACUGGUCGAGUCGGCCUGCGCGGAAGAUGUAACGGGGCUAAACCAUGCACCGAAGCUGCGGCAGCGACACUGUGUGUUGUUGGGUAGGGGAGCGUUCUGUAAGCCUGCGAAGGUGGCCUGUGAGGGUUGCUGGAGGUAUCAGAAGUGCGAAUGCUGACAUAAGUAACGAUAAAGCGGGUGAAAAGCCCGCUCGCCGGAAGACCAAGGGUUCCUGUCCAACGUUAAUCGGGGCAGGGUGAGUCGACCCCUAAGGCGAGGCCGAAAGGCGUAGUCGAUGGGAAACGGGUUAAUAUUCCCGUACUUGGUGUUACUGCGAAGGGGGGACGGAGAAGGCUAUGUUGGCCGGGCGACGGUUGUCCCGGUUUAAGCGUGUAGGUGUGUGUUCCAGGUAAAUCCGGUUCACUUUAACACUGAGGCGUGACGACGAGGCACUACGGUGCUGAAGCAACAAAUGCCCUGCUUCCAGGAAAAGCCUCUAAGCAUCAGGUAACAUCAAAUCGUACCCCAAACCGACACAGGUGGUCAGGUAGAGAAUACCAAGGCGCUUGAGAGAACUCGGGUGAAGGAACUAGGCAAAAUGGUGCCGUAACUUCGGGAGAAGGCACGCUGACACGUAGGUGAAGUGAUUUACUCAUGGAGCUGAAGUCAGUCGAAGAUACCAGCUGGCUGCAACUGUUUAUUAAAAACACAGCACUGUGCAAACACGAAAGUGGACGUAUACGGUGUGACGCCUGCCCGGUGCCGGAAGGUUAAUUGAUGGGGUCAGCGCAAGCGAAGCUCCUGAUCGAAGCCCCGGUAAACGGCGGCCGUAACUAUAACGGUCCUAAGGUAGCGAAAUUCCUUGUCGGGUAAGUUCCGACCUGCACGAAUGGCGUAAUGAUGGCCAGGCUGUCUCCACCCGAGACUCAGUGAAAUUGAACUCGCUGUGAAGAUGCAGUGUACCCGCGGCAAGACGGAAAGACCCCGUGAACCUUUACUAUAGCUUGACACUGAACAUUGAGCCUUGAUGUGUAGGAUAGGUGGGAGGCUUUGAAGUGUGGACGCCAGUCUGCAUGGAGCCGACCUUGAAAUACCACCCUUUAAUGUUUGAUGUUCUAACGUGGACCCGUUACCCGGGUUGCGGACAGUGUCUGGUGGGUAGUUUGACUGGGGCGGUCUCCUCCUAAAGAGUAACGGAGGAGCACGAAGGUUGGCUAAUCCUGGUCGGACAUCAGGAGGUUAGUGCAAUGGCAUAAGCCAGCUUGACUGCGAGCGUGACGGCGCGAGCAGGUGCGAAAGCAGGUCAUAGUGAUCCGGUGGUUCUGAAUGGAAGGGCCAUCGCUCAACGGAUAAAAGGUACUCCGGGGAUAACAGGCUGAUACCGCCCAAGAGUUCAUAUCGACGGCGGUGUUUGGCACCUCGAUGUCGGCUCAUCACAUCCUGGGGCUGAAGUAGGUCCCAAGGGUAUGGCUGUUCGCCAUUUAAAGUGGUACGCGAGCUGGGUUUAGAACGUCGUGAGACAGUUCGGUCCCUAUCUGCCGUGGGCGCUGGAGAACUGAGGGGGGCUGCUCCUAGUACGAGAGGACCGGAGUGGACGCAUCACUGGUGUUCGGGUUGUCAUGCCAAUGGCACUGCCCGGUAGCUAAAUGCGGAAGAGAUAAGUGCUGAAAGCAUCUAAGCACGAAACUUGCCCCGA